GGGCUGUUGGCGCAAUGGUAGCGCUUCAGCUUCCGAUGCUGGAGGUUCUAGGUUCGAGCCCUAGGCAGCUCG
RNAcentral lists this transfer RNA (72 nucleotides) under Cytospora mali. RNAcentral's name for it is "tRNA-Arg (CCG) (tRNA-Arg-CCG-1-1, tRNA-Arg-CCG-1-2)". It matches the Rfam family "tRNA". Rfam says of the family: Transfer RNA (tRNA) molecules are approximately 80 nucleotides in length. Their secondary structure includes four short double-helical elements and three loops (D, anti-codon, and T loops). The record is from RNAcentral. Lineage: Eukaryota; Fungi; Ascomycota; Sordariomycetes; Diaporthales; Cytosporaceae.